CUAUAUGUCGCCGGGGAAGCUUGGCUCACUGAGGGCUCUAUGGCCUCAGACCUAAUAGUUGUCAUGUUUGCUCUGUGGUUAUUUCGAAUCGACUUGUUAUCUAGUGGUCUGAUCAUUUUGCAGUCAAAAUACUAUUCCGUUUUGAUUUAAUUAAUAAUUAGUCUCUCAAGUAAUGAUGACAGGUGACAGCAGUAGAAAAGAAACUCUUUAGGUUCUGUGUUGAGAUUUUGCUGUCGUAAUGGUCAGCAAAAUCUACGUUAAUUAAUUUAAUAAAUUUAGAAUCAAGUUUUCAUGUAAUUAGGUUUUGAUUAUUUACUCUAGUAGUAAUUAAGAUUGUAAAACGUUACCACCAUAACGAACGUGGCGGCGAUCGACCAAUAGGAAAUGAUCACGUAACUCUCAAAAAUGGCGCGUACGCGUGUACCGUCACUGUGUAUUCACUCUAGUGAGGCAUCCUGCCUCCGUCUGUCUCCGUAGUCUAUUGAUUUAGUAAUUCAGUUCUAAUCGCGUUUUUAAGAUGGAAUAAUCGUCUUCUACAAUCUACUUGUUAAGUAUAGUGAAAUAGUGAAGUGUUAAGUAGUGUUAUUAAGAAAAGGAAAGUAAUUAGUGACUUGGGCUAUUAAUUGGUUCAAUUCUUUGUUGAGCAGCUUGAGGCGUCAUGCUGCUUGUCGUGUUAGUGAUUUUGUUCGAUAAUGUUUCGUGAUGAAGUAAUUAUUGAUCUUAAAUUGUUUACUGUGGGCAUGGAGAGCAUGUCGGGCAGGGUUGGUGAGUGUUUACUAGUAUUAAAAGGCGCCUUUAAACCACACCCAAUGGUCACAAGUCCUGGGACUUGCUCGAUGUACUUCCUCUACCACAACUACCAGGGUAAAAUAGUAAAAUUAAGAGUAGUAUUGUGUAAGCGAUUAGUGAGGUUAAGCAUAGCAUACCUAUUGUAAUUGGCAGAGCCGAUGACCAAGGUUAGGUCAGCGGUUCUGUCCAUAUUUUUAUUAAUGACUCUACCCAUUUUUACGACAUCAGAAGUGGGAUCGCUCCAGCGAUCCCUUUCUGCCGGUCAAUCUGUACCAAAUCCUGACAUUGACAAUGAAAGUGCAACUUAAUUUGUAAUUUGUGAAAUCCCUGAUGAAAUUAAUUUUAUUUGAUAACUACCCUCAGUUUUUCUUGUGGUAACUAAGUUGGACUUAAAACCGUAAAAUAGUUUUGACAAUUUAAUGUUGAUGCGUCAUUGAGUUGAAUCGGCAAUGGUUGCCGUGAUGCCCGUGUCGCCAUAUCGCAUCCAAAUAAAUAAUGUAAUAACGUAAAAGACAAAGAGAAAAGAAAAGAAAAAGAAAAAAGAAAAAAGAAAAAAAAAAAAAUUGAGAAAUGUUCAUUACGUUGCAAACUUAUUACGUUACUUUUAAAAUUUAUCGUUUGCAAACGUUAUGCGUUUGCGAGUCGAGUACUUUUAGUUAAAAACCGCGACGGUUUGAGCCGAGUGUGCGAAUCUUUUACCGAUAAUUUCAAAAUAGAUAUUGCGUUUACGUGGCGUACGGCAUUUUUCCAAGUUAGAUUGCGUCUCUUACUUUUCAUUUAAUUCAGACUGUACCAAGGGUUUACUUUAAGAACUUCUCCGCCUCUUUACAUCCCCAAAAUAAAUUAUUGAUGAUGGAAGACAAUUCCUCAGAAGCUUCCAAGAGUUAUUGUGACAGGCAUUGCAACGAACUACACAUAGUGACUCCAGGUAACGAAAUACUAUCUUUGGUUAUUUGCAAUGCUCUUUUUACUGUGAAGUACAUACAAUAUUUGGUAUAGCUUCGUUAACACUUCUUGUAUGUAGUCACAAUUGUGUAGUACCUAAACUUCUUAGUCUAGUUCACUUUGACAGUGGGGUCAUCGAUAUAGAGGCCCUGCAUGUUUACAUCCAAAGUAGAAUGGCAGAGGCGGUUGUAAAAAAAAAAAACCACUAUUAGUAAGGAGACUACUUGGUUUUAAUUAAAAACAACCAAACGUCGCUUCACCUUUGUUUAGCAAUCAUUAUAGUGAAGUACACAGAGUGCUCAAGAGCGGUAUCUGGUCGUCAUUGGAGGCCUUGCAGGGUCACAGAUAACCAAUUGAGGCGACCUGCUCGCCCUGGUGAUCUUCUGGCGGCCGUACCGCCUCUGGUAUCAACGGUGUCAAACGUCUAACGCCACUACAGCCGCGCAGCCCGCUACUACUUCUGCAGUCGUUGCAGCCUGCGGCUAUUGCGACCGCUGGAGCUGGCGUGCUGCCUGUGUCGUCUACUACAUCGACCACUGCGUGGACUAUUUAUUCCCGAAAAGAACUGGAGGCGCUGCAGAGCACGCACCGCACGUCAGUAUGGCCGUGUCGCCGGGGAAGCUUGGCUCACUGAGGGCUCUAUGGCCUCAGACCUAAUAGUUGUCAUGUUUGCUCUGUGGUUAUUUCGAAUCGACUUGUUAUCUAGUGGUCUGAUCAUUUUGCAGUCAAAAUACUAUUCCGUUUUGAUUUAAUUAAUAAUUAGUCUCUCAAGUAAUGAUGACAGGUGACAGCAGUAGAAAAGAAACUCUUUAGGUUCUGUGUUGAGAUUUUGCUG
Molecule: long non-coding RNA, 2569 nt
Organism: Bicyclus anynana (squinting bush brown)
Lineage: Eukaryota; Metazoa; Arthropoda; Insecta; Lepidoptera; Nymphalidae
Exons: 2
Source: RefSeq, a predicted model, not a curated record